RNAcentral lists this ribosomal RNA (468 nucleotides) under uncultured bacterium. Its description in RNAcentral is "partial 16S ribosomal RNA". It matches the Rfam family "Bacterial small subunit ribosomal RNA", at positions 28 to 507 of the family's 1533-position model. The record is from RNAcentral.
GACGAACGCUGGCGGCGUGCUUAACACAUGCAAGUCGAACGGAAAGGCCCUGCUUUUGUGGGGUGCUCGAGUGGCGAACGGGUGAGUAACACGUGAGUAACCUGCCCUUAACUUUGGGAUAACUUCAGGAAACUGGGGCUAAUACCGGAUAGGAGCUCCUGCUGCAUGGUGGGGGUUGGAAAGUUUCGGCGGUUGGGGAUGGACUCGCGGCUUAUCAGCUUGUUGGUGGGGUAGUGGCUUACCAAGGCUUUGGCGGGUAGCCGGCCUGAGAGGGUGACCGGCCACAUUGGGACUGAGAUACGGCCCAGACUCCUACGGGAGGCAGCAGUGGGGAAUAUUGCACAAUGGGCGGAAGCCUGAUGCAGCAACGCCGCGUGCGGGAUGACGGCCUUCGGGUUGUAAACCGCUUUCGCCUGUGACGAAGCGUGAGUGACGGUAAUGGGUAAAGAAGCACCGGCUAACUACGUG